Molecule: long non-coding RNA, 210 nt
Filed under: Fukomys damarensis (Damara mole-rat)
Lineage: Eukaryota; Metazoa; Chordata; Mammalia; Rodentia; Bathyergidae
Description: lncRNA (ENSFDAG00000029190.1)
Source: RNAcentral
UGGGCAGUGUCGUCCUGCUUGAUGAAGAGGAAGCCUACAGUAGCAGCCAGCCUAAAAUCACAGUCAGGACGAUUAUUCGUGUGGAAGUUCACUUCACCAAGCACAGGGCCAUAGCAUUGCCCAGUUUGAGGGGGCACCUUAACCCCCAGAAGAGUUCUGCAGUAGAACUAGGCCGGGUCGAACAGCACCGUUGUUAACCACAAGGGAGGA